Molecule: transfer RNA, 74 nt
Filed under: Cryptomonas gyropyrenoidosa
Lineage: Eukaryota; Cryptophyceae; Cryptomonadales; Cryptomonadaceae
Description: tRNA-Gln
Rfam family: tRNA
About the family: Transfer RNA (tRNA) molecules are approximately 80 nucleotides in length.
Source: RNAcentral
UAGGGUAUAGCCAAAUACGGUAAGGCUUUAGUUUUUGAUACUAACAUCUAAAGGUUCAAUUCCUUUUGCCCUAG